UACGGGGGGGGCAAGCGUUGUUCGGAAUUACUGGGCGUAAAGGGCUCGUAGGUGGCCAACUAAGUCGGACGUGAAAUCCCUCGGCUUAACCGGGGAACUGCGUCCGAUACUGGUUGGCUUGAGUUUGGGAGAGGGAUGCGGAAUUCCAGGUGUAGCGGUGAAAUGCGUAGAUAUCAAGAGGAACACCUGCGGCGAAGGCGGGUUGCUGGGCCGACACUGACGCUGAGGCGCGAAAGCUAGGGGAGCGAACGGG
RNAcentral lists this ribosomal RNA (253 nucleotides) under uncultured bacterium. Its description in RNAcentral is "partial 16S ribosomal RNA". It matches the Rfam family "Bacterial small subunit ribosomal RNA", at positions 524 to 776 of the family's 1533-position model. The record is from RNAcentral.